CAUGCAAGUCGAACGAGAGAGAAGGAGCUUGCUUCUUCGAUCGAGUGGCGAACGGGUGAGUAACGCGUGAGGAACCUGCCUCAAAGAGGGGGACAACAGUUGGAAACGACUGCUAAUACCGCAUAAGCCCACGGGUCGGCAUCGAUCUGAGGGAAAAGGAGCAAUCCGCUUUGAGAUGGCCUCGCGUCCGAUUAGCUAGUUGGUGAGGUAACGGCCCACCAAGGCGACGAUCGGUAGCCGGACUGAGAGGUUGAACGGCCACAUUGGGACUGAGACACGGCCCAGACUCCUACGGGAGGCAGCAGUGGGGAAUAUUGCACAAUGGGGGAAACCCUGAUGCAGCGACGCCGCGUGGAGGAAGAAGGUCUUCGGAUUGUAAACUCCUGUUGUUGAGGAAGAUAAUGACGGUACUCAACAAGGAAGUGACGGCUAACUACGUGCCAGCAGCCGCGGUAAAACGUAGGUCACAAGCGUUGUCCGGAAUUACUGGGUGUAAAGGGAGCGCAGGCGGGAAGACAAGUUGGAAGUGAAAUCUAUGGGCUCAACCCAUAAACUGCUUUCAAAACUGUUUUUCUUGAGUAGUGCAGAGGUAGGCGGAAUUCCCGGUGUAGCGGUGGAAUGCGUAGAUAUCGGGAGGAACACCAGUGGCGAAGGCGGCCUACUGGACACCAACUGACGCUGAGGCUCGAAAGUGUGGGUAGCAAACAGGAUUAGAUACCCUGGUAGUCCACACCGUAAACGAUGAUUACUAGGUGUUGGAGGAUUGACCCCUUCAGUGCCGCAGUUAACACAAUAAGUAAUCCACCUGGGGAGUACGACCGCA
RNAcentral lists this ribosomal RNA (823 nucleotides) under uncultured bacterium. Its description in RNAcentral is "bacterial SSU rRNA". It matches the Rfam family "Bacterial small subunit ribosomal RNA", at positions 54 to 890 of the family's 1533-position model. The record is from RNAcentral.